GGGGAUGUAACUCAGUGGUACAGCAUUUACCUAGCAUGCACAAGGCCCUGGGUUCAACCCCCAAUAUCUACC
Molecule: transfer RNA, 72 nt
Filed under: Marmota monax (woodchuck)
Lineage: Eukaryota; Metazoa; Chordata; Mammalia; Rodentia; Sciuridae
Description: tRNA.Ala
Source: RNAcentral